UUUUUUCGAUUUUGAUUUUUUUCUGUUCGGUUUCGGCCCGAUUCGAUUUUUUUCAUGAGUUUUUUUUUCUUUUAAAUCUGGAGCUUGAAGCCUUGAGCAUCCUUGGUGAGAAAUCAACCUGCAAGUUGAACAACAGAUAAAUCCACAUUUUAAAAGAGCAAAUAUAUACAUUUCGUAGUAGGAUGCUAGAUAGGAGAAUCAUUGGUCCCAUUGCAACAAGCUUGUCAAAAAUGUAAAAACUAACUAACUAACAACAAAAAUAAUGUAAAUACCUACUUGAAUCUUUGAUAAACAAAACAGCAUGCCCAUUAACCAAUUGGGUUGGAAAGCAUAAAGAUGGAUUUGAUGCCUUGGGAUAUGAAAUCAAAGUUGGAGUCGAUCCAGGCUUCGACCUCGU
This 397-nucleotide long non-coding RNA is filed under the name Malus domestica (apple). RNAcentral describes it as "long non-coding RNA (MDOM_LNC016274)". Lineage: Eukaryota; Viridiplantae; Streptophyta; Magnoliopsida; Rosales; Rosaceae. The record is from RNAcentral.